This 679-nucleotide long non-coding RNA is filed under the name Carica papaya (papaya). RNAcentral describes it as "long non-coding RNA (CPAP_LNC007706)". The record is from RNAcentral. Lineage: Eukaryota; Viridiplantae; Streptophyta; Magnoliopsida; Brassicales; Caricaceae.
GUUCAUUGACAAACCAAGGUAAUAUAACUGUAAUAUAGAAGCUUUUUCAUGAAUCUAUCUAUAUGUAUAUGUAUUACAUAGAAAAUGUGGAUUGAUAUAAAUAUCUUGUGUUGGAAAUGAAUAAAGAGAAGUAAAUAUUAGUAGGUAGCCAUAAGAAAAGUAGGUUUAGUUGUGGAUUGGAGGCUUUUUUUCCGCUGGAGUGUAAUCCAUAACCACUACAUCAUCAACAAUAUUCUCCUCUACUCUUGGUUCAACAUGAUUCCUCUUCUCAUGGUCUACCCAAGUAUUACUCAAUUUCCUUGCUGCAUGUGUAAAUAAAACCUUAAAUAUAUAUAUAUAUAUCUACACACGUACAUACACAUAUAUAUAUGUAUAUAUUAUAUGUUUAUAAAACCCAAUAACUAUACCUGUUGCAGUUGCUGUAAUGAAGCAAGCGAGUAUAAAAACCAUAAGAAGGAGAUCACCCUUGUUGUAAUUAUAAGAAUGUCUACCCAUUCUCUCAACUAGAAGUGUAUGUAUAUAAUUCUGGUAACAAGGUUUGGUGUGUGUGUGUAUAUAUAUUUGUCAGGGAGUAUGUAUGUAUACGUCUAUAUAUAUAUAUUGUGUAUCAUAUAGAUGGAUGGAUUGAUGGAUGUCGGAAAGGAGUUUUGUAGUAAGUGGACGUGAUCUGAUAGGGUCG